GACUCUAUGAAAAAUAAUUUAAAAAAUUAAAGCCUUCCUAACUAAUAACUUUCUUCCCUCUAAUCGAAUGCCAACCAAAAAUGUGCAAAAGUCAUGACAAUUUGAAAGGGUUCUGGCAAGAAAUUUAGGGCAAACAAAGAGCACGAAUUGGCAUAACUAUCAUUUCCAAUACAAGUUUUAGAACAACAAUGAAGAUCACAUAAAUGAAUUAAGUGA
RNAcentral lists this long non-coding RNA (216 nucleotides) under Elaeis guineensis (African oil palm). Its description in RNAcentral is "long non-coding RNA (EGUI_LNC039195)". Lineage: Eukaryota; Viridiplantae; Streptophyta; Magnoliopsida; Arecales; Arecaceae. The record is from RNAcentral.